RNAcentral lists this long non-coding RNA (248 nucleotides) under Setaria viridis. RNAcentral's name for it is "long non-coding RNA (SVIR_LNC009580)". Lineage: Eukaryota; Viridiplantae; Streptophyta; Magnoliopsida; Poales; Poaceae. The record is from RNAcentral.
UUCCCUACAACUCUCCAUCUAUGAGGGAACACUGUGAGUUGGAGAAGGGGCGUCGUCCUCUUCAAUGUCCAUGCUGGACGCUUCCUCAACCUCCUCAGGGUCUUCCUGAGCUUCCAGCUGCAUCUGGAGGGCAUGCAUGUCAUCAAGCUCGGCGUGAUGCUCGUCCAGAUGAGCAUUAGCAACUGCCAGUUCCAUUUCUACUUCCAUCUUUUCCUCUGACAGCUCAAUCAUGCCAUCCACCAGAUCGG